GUGCUCGCUUCAGCAGCACAGGUACUAACAUUGGAACGCUACAGAGAAGAUUAGCAUGGCCCCUGCACAA
Molecule: small nuclear RNA, 70 nt
Filed under: Octodon degus (degu)
Lineage: Eukaryota; Metazoa; Chordata; Mammalia; Rodentia; Octodontidae
Source: RNAcentral